GAUGAAGAACGUAGCGAAAUGCGAUACUUGGUGUGAAUUGCAGAAUCCCGUGAACCAUCGAGUCUUUGAACGCAAGUUGCGCCCGAAGCCACUAGGCCGAGGGCACGCCUGCCUGGGCGUCACACGUCGUUGCCCCCCCAUCUACUCCUUCGGGAUUGCGGGGGGGCGGAUGAUGGCCUCCCGUGCGCCUAGCCGCGCGGUUGGCAUAAAUACCAAGUCCUCGGCGACGCACGCCACGACAAUCGGUGGUUGCGAAACCUCGGUUGCCCGUCGUGUGCGUUCGUCGCGCAUCAAGGGCUCGAAAAAAUGCUCGGCUUCGGCUCGGCUUUCAACGCGACCCCAGGUCAGGCGGGGUUACCCGCUGAAUUUAAGCAUAUCAAUAAGCGGAGGA
RNAcentral lists this unclassified non-coding RNA (391 nucleotides) under soil metagenome. Its description in RNAcentral is "partial contains 5.8S ribosomal RNA, internal transcribed spacer 2, and large subunit ribosomal RNA". The stretch from base 1 to 122 matches the Rfam family "5.8S ribosomal RNA", at positions 35 to 154 of the family's 154-position model. The record is from RNAcentral.